Molecule: long non-coding RNA, 438 nt
Organism: Lolium rigidum
Lineage: Eukaryota; Viridiplantae; Streptophyta; Magnoliopsida; Poales; Poaceae
Exons: 4
Source: RefSeq, a predicted model, not a curated record
GUCUAGAUGUCCCGAAGGAGCUGCGCAGUUCUCCAUCGACCAUUCCAAACCGUUGAUUAUCUGUUUAUACGGUCCAUGGUACCACCAACUGCCAGCAACGUACAUCUACUGCAGAUUUUGGAGAUUGAUUUAUGGUGAUGUUUCACUUCUUCCAGAGCUUCAGUUCUUGCUUAGCAGAAUAAUUACAGCUGACAGUGAAUUUGGACGUUGGCAUUCAGAACUGGGUUGUUCCAUCCAAACUAUGACAAUGACGAAAGCUAGCAUCUAACUCGAAGGAGAGCUGCCCAGUUUUGCAUUAUCAACCAUUUCAAUGGUGUUCCCCUGCCUCUCGACCCUGAGGAGGAAGUUAGUAUGAUUCAAAAGGAAUACAUGCAGACUGCAGGCGUCCAGGGCGAGCCCUGCCACCUCCUCCACCAUGCCUUUCCAACCUUGGCCACC